GGACAAGCAAACAACCGGCCCCGAAGGCUUCUGGGAAAUGUAGUGUAACUGCGAGAGCCGGUUGCAACAACUCGACGAACGAAGUUACUACAAAGCCCAGAAUGCUCCGCUACAAACUAUUUGGGAUAGGAGGUUAAAAAUCCCCCUGCAGAUGCGGGAGACAGAAAAGACACGGGUUCGAUCUCUGGGUUGGAAAGAUCCUCUUGAAGAGGCUUCCCUGGUGGCUCAAACGGUAAAACGUCUGCCCGCAAUGCGGGAAACCCGGGUUUGAUUCCUGGGUCGGGAACAUCCCCCGGAUAAGGAAAUGGCAAUCCACUCCAGCACUCUUGCUUGGAAAAUCCCAUAGAUGGAGGAGCCUGAUAGGCUACAGACACAAAUCUGAGGAACUUUCUGGAGUGAUACAGAUGUUCCAUAUCUGGAUCUGAUGGUUACACUGAUGUAUAAUAGGUAAAAUUUGGUGUGAAGAAGUAAUAACAGCUAGCCCUUACCUGGCACUUACCACAUACCAAGCACUCUUUGAAGUACUUUGCGCAUAACUCAUUUCAUCCUAACAAUAACCCUGUAAUAAUACAGGUUCUAGGCACACCGGCUUCAUUAGUUGUGGCACACAAGCAUAGCUGCCCCAUGGCAUGUGGAAUCUUCCCAGACCAGGGAUCGAACUGAUGUCCCCUGCAUUGGCAGGCGGAUUCUUUACCACUGGACCACCAGGGAAGUCUCUAUUCCAUAUUCUUGAAUGGAAUAUUCAAAAAUAUUCCUGAACCAUAUUCCUUCCAUAUUCCUGAACCAUACUUGAUUUUAUCCAAUUUUCCUCUGCCAAGGUGAGGGAGAUGCUGGCAAGCAGGCAGCACCAUUCCCUCCAGUUCCUGCACUGGAUUGAUGGUUUGCUUUCUGAGAGUUGAUUGAAAGGAGCUCUAGAAGUCAGUCAAAGGCAAGAUAUUUACCAAAAUUUAGGACAUCAUUAAAAUAAUCUGGAGGGAGGAAACAAGAUGGCAAAUUAGAAGGACUUGAACUCACUGACUCUCAUGAAAACACCAAAAAUAAGAACUGGUGUUGGAGAAGACUCUUGAGAGUCCCUUGGACUGCAAGGAGAUCCAACCAGUCCAUUCUGAAGGACCAUCAGCCCUGGGAUUUCUUUGGAAGGAAUGAUGCUGAAGCUGAAACUCCAGUAUUUUGGCCACCUCAUGCGAAGAGUUGACUCAUUGGAAAAGACUCUGAUGCUGGGAGGGAUUGGGGGCAGGAGGAGAAGGGGACGACAGAGGAUGAGAUGGCUGGAUGGCAUCACUGACUCGAUGGACGUGAGUCUCAGUGAACUCCAGGAGUUGGUGAUGGACAGGGAGG
Long non-coding RNA from Bos taurus (domestic cattle), 1338 nucleotides. The record is from Ensembl. NCBI's taxonomy places the organism in Eukaryota, Metazoa, Chordata, Mammalia, Artiodactyla, Bovidae.